Molecule: ribosomal RNA, 465 nt
Filed under: uncultured Klebsiella sp.
Lineage: Bacteria; Pseudomonadati; Pseudomonadota; Gammaproteobacteria; Enterobacterales; Enterobacteriaceae
Description: bacterial SSU rRNA
Rfam family: Bacterial small subunit ribosomal RNA
Source: RNAcentral
CCUACGGGUGGCUGCAGUGGGGAAUAUUGCACAAUGGGCGCAAGCCUGAUGCAGCCAUGCCGCGUGUGUGAAGAAGGCCUUCGGGUUGUAAAGCACUUUCAGCGGGGAGGAAGGCGUUAAGGUUAAUAACCUUGUCGAUUGACGUUACCCGCAGAAGAAGCACCGGCUAACUCCGUGCCAGCAGCCGCGGUAAUACGGAGGGCGCAAGCGUUAAUCGGAAUUACUGGGCGUAAAGCGCACGCAGGCGGUCUGUCAAGUCGGAUGUGAAAUCCCCGGGCUCAACCUGGGAACUGCAUUCGAAACUGGCAGGCUAGAGUCUUGUAGAGGGGGGUAGAAUUCCAGGUGUAGCGGUGAAAUGCGUAGAGAUCUGGAGGAAUACCGGUGGCGAAGGCGGCCCCCUGGACAAAGACUGACGCUCAGGUGCGAAAGCGUGGGGAGCAAACAGGAUUAGAUACCCUUGUAGUC